Molecule: long non-coding RNA, 380 nt
Filed under: Olea europaea (common olive)
Lineage: Eukaryota; Viridiplantae; Streptophyta; Magnoliopsida; Lamiales; Oleaceae
Description: long non-coding RNA (OEUR_LNC010694)
Source: RNAcentral
UCUCCUAUUCCCAACUUUUCAAAAAUAGACAAGGGCAUUAAGUUAAUGCUCGCUCCGAGAUCACACAAAGCUUUAGUAAAAUUAAGAUCCCCAAUAGCACAUGGAAUAGUAAAGCUCCCUGGAUCUUUGAUUUUAGGAGGCAAUUUGUUCUGGAGAAUGGCGCUACACUCUUCCGUCAACAUCACCGUUUCAUGCUCUUCAAGUUUCCUUUUGUUAGAAAGGAUAUCUUUCAUGAACUUCGCAUAACUCGGCAUUUGAGCCAGAGCAUCUGCAAACGGAAUGUUAAUGUGUAGCUUUUUAAACACCUCCAAAAACUUACCAAAUUGAAUAUCCAGUUUAUGCUUCUGGAGCCUUUGAGGGAAAGGAAUAGGAGGUACAUA